RNAcentral lists this ribosomal RNA (564 nucleotides) under uncultured archaeon. RNAcentral describes it as "bacterial SSU rRNA". It matches the Rfam family "Archaeal small subunit ribosomal RNA", at positions 315 to 879 of the family's 1478-position model. The record is from RNAcentral.
CGCGAUUCGCCCUUGGUGCAGCAGGCGCGAAAACUUUACAAUGCGGGAAACCGUGAUAAGGGGACACCGAGUGCCAGCAUCAUAUGCUGGCUGUCCAGGUGUGUAAAAUACACCUGUUAGCAAGGGCCGGGCAAGACCGGUGCCAGCCGCCGCGGUAACACCGGCGGCCCGAGUGGUGAUCGUGAUUAUUGGGUCUAAAGGGUCCGUAGCCGGUUUGGUCAGUCCUCCGGGAAAUCUGAUAGCUUAACUAUUAGGCUUUCGGAGGAUACUGCCAGACUUGGAACCGGGAGAGGUAAGAGGUACUACAGGGGUAGGAGUGAAAUCUUGUAAUCCCUGUGGGACCACCUGUGGCGAAGGCGUCUUACCAGAACGGGUUCGACGGUGAGGGACGAAAGCUGGGGGCACGAACCGGAUUAGAUACCCGGGUAGUCCCAGCCGUAAACGAUGCUCGCUAGGUGUCAGGCAUGGCGCGACCGUGUCUGGUGCCGCAGGGAAGCCGUGAAGCGAGCCACCUGGGAAGUACGGCCGCAAGGCUGAAACUUAAAGGAAUUGGCGGGGGAGCAC